Molecule: long non-coding RNA, 1177 nt
Organism: Neofelis nebulosa (Clouded leopard)
Lineage: Eukaryota; Metazoa; Chordata; Mammalia; Carnivora; Felidae
Exons: 3
Source: RefSeq, a predicted model, not a curated record
GUCCAGAUGGAACCUCUGAGAACAGGGAAAGGACACUGAUGACCAUUCCCCAUAUUUCACAAUGGGAUGUGUGUUGCACCUGACCCCUCCCCUUGCCUUCAUCCUUUCUCCAGGUGGCCUUGUCUUGCUGUAGCACCAAAGUUGUAGCUCUGGGUCAGGAGCUGACGUUGGGGCUGGAGGGCUCCAAGCAUAAUUACCUGGGAUCUGAUUCCACUGAAAAUCACUCAUGUCAUAGCCACAAUGAACUUCCUUAUAUACAAAUCUCUGGGAGAUGAGCCAAUGUUUCUGCAGAAGAGGUUUCUCUCGUGAACCUUCUCUGAGGGUCUUCAACAGCCAUAAACUUUCACCUAGAGUCAUCAGAGCAACCCCGUGAAGACAAACCAUGGCCCCUACUGCAUAAAAUAAGAUUUCAGCUAUGAUUCAUGAACUAAAUUCAGCACAGCCCUUGUGAUCGUGCCAAACUGGCUCUGCUGGGGGUCCUCACAGCCCGACUUACUCCUCCACCCCAGGUGACAGGGAAGGGGCACAGAUCGCCUGGUCUGGUUGCUGGAAUUCCGAGACUGAAGGAGUAGAGGAGCCACAGCCCGCUGUCUGAAGUGGGGGUGUGGGCAGAUAGUGCCCCCCCAGAAUGAUGGAGAGCCUAAGGACACAAGCCCGGGGCUAGAGAGACUUGGGUUCGAGUUGCAGCUCCGCGACUUUUCCAAAGGCGUUUUCUUGGCAACCCGGAUUUCAGGUUUCUCAUCUGUAAGAUGGAAGUGAUACUUGGUAUUUACCUCCCAGUGCAGUGGGGGAAUUGAUACAAAGCAUAAUUACAGGGAGAGAGCAGGCUGGUCACUGACACUUAGCCACCUGGCAUUUGAGAGGUUCUAACUAGCAGGAUUGGGAACGGAAAAUUGUGCCACUCGCAUUCACCUUAAACUUAUUUCAUUGUAAAGGAAUAGGGUUGUUGCCUUUUCCGUUGUUCCCUUUUUAUUAUCUUUCCACCCCCACAUCUCAAUUCCGCAUGGAACUUCAGGUAAAACAUCAUUUCUAUGCUUUGAGGAGGGGUCCCGGAGACCUUGGUCUCUGAGGAUUAAUAUUGUAGCUCCGUGACAGGACAGGUGUUAGAGAAAUGUGAACACCUUGGGCUGGGUAGCAGGAACAGUCGGGCUCCAGAGUCAAGCAAACCUGGGUAGAA